UGUAAUGAACAUUUGAUUCUGAAUUUAAUUAAAACUUUUUGUGUGGGUUUCCCCCUCUUCCCCGACAGAAUGCUGCUGCCUAUUUGCAAGGUUAAUGCGGUGGUUUUCUAUAAUAAGACGAUGUGAGAUUUCCAGCUUGGAGCAACAGAGUAAGCCCACUGAGAUGAAAAUUACAGAGAUAAAACGAAUGGAUGCUGCUUUGGGAACAGUUCGAUGCAGUUCAAAGGCUCUUUCCUGACAGACUAAGUUUUGGCUCCUUUCUGAAAGCUUCUGAGCCUCGUGACAGAUGGCUCUUUGGGUUCCAGCUGUGUUCCUCCGGAAGGUCUCUCUUGUCUUGCAUGCAGAGGGCAACAUGUCUUCCAAGACACUUGAGUAAUGUCUCUGCUGCUCUCGGAGCAUCUUUCUCACGAUGGCCGGUGCAUAACAAUAUGAGUCACCUUGCAGGCUUCCAGCCUGUUUCAUUCCUUCUCCGAAUGACCGAGGUGCUCCCUGGGAGGAGGACAUUGGUUGUCCGCACAGAGUAGCGUUAGGCUUCCUUCUCCACUAGUGUGGCUCACCUUGAGGUUCUUCUCCCUGCCUGGAGACCACCCCGGGGAGCGUGGCCAUGCCACAAAGCUUCCACUGGUUCUCCAGGACCUGGUAAGCGACUUGGCCAUGCUGUGUGUGUGGAGCAAGGCGGUCUUGUCCUCACCCAAAGAUCAGGAGGAGAGCGAAGGGCAGCCACGGUCUUUCUCGCCCUCGUUUGAGCCCGGAGCUCUGCGGUCAGCUGUUCCCGAUGUGAGUGUCCACCUCCUCGCCCUGCCUGUCCUGGCCUCUUUGGGUCAUUUGAGCCCGGAGCUCUGCAGUCAGCUGUUCCCAAUGUGAGUGUCCAAAAGCCGCCACCUCCUCGCCCUGCCUGUCCUGGCCUCUUUGGGUGGCAUUUUAGAGUUUAAUUGCCCUUUGCCCAGAUUACAGAGGUGUCAGGUUCUUUUUAAAAAAACACUUAAGGUUUUAAACUGUCAUUUAGUGUUUAUGUUAAUUAAUAUGGCAAGGACGAUCUCCAGGUACCUUCCUAAACGGCAAUUAUCUGGCUGAACAUUCCUAGCAAUUUGAGUUUGUUAGUAAGAAUCUAAUUACAGUAGUUUACUGCUGAUGGAAUUACACAAGGAGGUAGCGUUCUCUGUUACAUACUUAUUAAGGCUCACUAAGUGAUCCUUUGCAGUCUGCUGUUAUUCAAUUACCAAGUAAUAACUUUCUUAACAAACCUAAUUGAAAUGUUUAUAUGAUUUACGUCAUCUUAACCUUUUUAUUUUUUUUAAAAAUAUUUUUUGGGUCAGAGUACUUUACAGUUGCUCCUUCCCCAUUUUCCUAAACAGAAACAAAGAUUUCUUCCAAGAGCUGUCAGAUGCAGGAAGAGGAGACUUGACACCCAUAUUGGUCAAUUCCUGUGCAUGAUGAUGCAUCACCAGAUGAUGCAGGGCAACAGAUUUAUUGCUUUGUUUUGUUUUCUCUGUGUGCAUGUGUAGGGGGCAUUUUUGUAAGGGU
RNAcentral lists this long non-coding RNA (1524 nucleotides) under Pogona vitticeps (central bearded dragon). Its description in RNAcentral is "lncRNA (ENSPVIG00000024883.1)". Lineage: Eukaryota; Metazoa; Chordata; Lepidosauria; Squamata; Agamidae. The record is from RNAcentral.